This 465-nucleotide ribosomal RNA is filed under the name uncultured bacterium. RNAcentral's name for it is "partial 16S ribosomal RNA". It matches the Rfam family "Bacterial small subunit ribosomal RNA", at positions 28 to 507 of the family's 1533-position model. The record is from RNAcentral.
GACGAACGCUGGCGGCGUGCUUAAUACAUGCAAGUCGAACGGAAAGGCCCCCUUGUGGGGUACUCGAGUGGCGAACGGGUGAGUAACACGUGAGUAACCUACCCUUGACUUUGGGAUAACUUCAGGAAACUGGGGCUAAUACCGGAUAGGAGCUCCUGCUGCAUGGUGGGGGUUGGAAAGUUUCGGCGGUUGGGGAUGGACUCGCGGCUUAUCAGCUUGUUGGUGGGGUAGUGGCUCACCAAGGCUUUGACGGGUAGCCGGCCUGAGAGGGUGACCGGCCACAUUGGGACUGAGAUACGGCCCAGACUCCUACGGGAGGCAGCAGUGGGGAAUAUUGCACAAUGGGCGGAAGCCUGAUGCAGCAACGCCGCGUGCGGGAUGACGGCCUUCGGGUUGUAAACCGCUUUCGCCUGUGAUGAAGCGUGAGUGACGGUAAUGGGUAAAGAAGCACCGGCUAACUACGUG